RNAcentral lists this unclassified non-coding RNA (412 nucleotides) under Hevea brasiliensis (rubber tree). The record is from RNAcentral. Lineage: Eukaryota; Viridiplantae; Streptophyta; Magnoliopsida; Malpighiales; Euphorbiaceae.
AAGCCCCCAAAAGCAGCAGUCAAUGUACAGAAUCAGACGUAUUCGGAAAGAAUUAAAAGAGAGCUGGUAUUCAAAGAGGAUCGAAUGCUAAGUUCUCUUCCCAACAAAAAAAAAAAAAAAGUAACUAAAUUCUCGUGUGUUUAUGACUGAUUUUGUGGACCAAAUGAAAACCAGGAAGGCCAAAGAAGAAAUUAUGAAGCUUUCGCCGUAUAAAUGAAGAGGGUAAAGAAAAAAGUUACUUCUUUGCAGAAACCGAAGUGAAAAUGUAGAAAUGUUAUUUGCCUGUCUUUGGUUUCAAUGAUAGAAAUGAAACCCAGAAACGCCAAAUGAAGAAUGACUAGAUAGAAUGAACCUAUGCUUUCUUUAGCUGAAAAUUAGAAACGUUAAGCGAUCUGAAUCCAAUGAAUUAACG